CUACACUCUCAUAUUCGCAUACGAACACGCGCGGUUACUGCAGGAUUAAAUACUUUUGUAUAAUCCUAUGGCUGGGUCCUAAUAAAUAAUAUAUAAAUAUUAUAUAGGUGCUACUCGUGCGUGUAUUAUAUUAUUAUAAUAUUAUGACGAGUUGUGAAAAAAUAAAAAUUCAAAUUUGCAAGUUUAUAAAACGAUUAAAAAAAAUAUAUAUAUAUGCAAAUAUUAUCGUGAUACGAACGCCAUUGUUAAAAGCAAUUAUGCUUUCGUCCCGUUACGUUACAAUAUUAAAUAAAAUCCAUUCGAAAUGAUUUCCAGGGCAUUAAAACACGGCGCACUCUCUUUGUAAAAAAUAUAAUCGGAAUUUCACCGUCGGAACGUCGUCGUAUCGUUGGCUUUUCGUGGUUUUAUAUUUUCCACGGGAUUAAUUAUAAUAUUGAUAAUGAUAAUUAUAAUUAUAAAAUUCACUGCAACGGCAAUAAAAACCAAACAAAAUAUAACCCGACGCCCAAGCGUUUUUGCGCGUACGCAUUUGAUGUUAUACUAUUUAAAAUGCGGAAAACGAACGGAAAUAAUAUACUGUAUUCAAAGCGAGGGAAUGACCGGGAUGUUGUCCCCUUUCCCCCUCUCGGGCAUCUAUGACCGUGGUCCUUCAGCGUAUACUCGAUACUAGAGACACGUUGACUUCAAUAUCGCAAUACAAAAUAUUGUACUCGUUGUAUCCAUUAUCCGAGAUAACAUUUACUAUCGUACCGUGGCUUUGUGUGUUAUUGUUAUAGAAUAUGUGAGUGUAAGAGGCGUAAAGGAUCAAAACCGAAAUUACCGUUGAUAAAAUAAACAUUCCCAAAAGAAUACUCCGGGCCAUUAAUAGUAAAAUGGUAAAUAAUAUUUAUCGGAAAUAGACGCGUUUCCGAAAUUAAACGGUAUUUUUUUUUUUGUUUAACGUUCUCCGGUCUGAAAAACCAAGGUAGACGAUAUUUGUCCUUAAUGUAUAUUAUGGUACGUAAACGCAUGAUUUUCGGGCUAUAAAAAUCGAUUGAAAAAAAAAAAAAUAAAAAAACCUAUGUCCACAGGUAUUCAGGUUACCUAUAUUUACGGCGCCGACGGGUUAAAGGUUUCGAUAAGCCGCGAUUAUAAUUUAAAACCGAUUCUGUAGUUAUUAUAAUAUUAUGCACACCGCGUAAUGUAACGAUAUUACAUGAAAAUAAGUUCCACACCGUAAAACCGGUAACUUUCACACACACACACACACACACGCGCGCGCCCGUUUCACGAUUGAUUCACGUUUCCGAGGUGUUCUGGGGGCAUACAAUGCAAAUGAAAUAUAACGAAUCGGAUGUGCACGGCGGUAUUGCGCAAAUCGCGUAACCGGCGAUGGUAAUAAUAAUAAUGUUGUUAUGCACGAUCGGACGUAACCGCGGUAAAUAUCCAUUUUGCCAUAAUAAUAUGUCACUCCGCGUCAUAAUGUAUUAUCCGCACUGCGCGGAUAAAUCGUUACUACGUUAUUAUUACGUGCGCGCAUAAUCGAUACGAAAAAAAAAACGUUCGGAAAUUAAUACCGAGAGGGCGCAAUAACGUUUGCCGCGUCUGUCUGCGCGGUAACGGGCAAUAUAGAAAACGCGCGUGUUCGUAUUUUUCCAACAUUCGGGAUCGAACGGACCUGAAACGCGAAAUUCCGUUUCGCCGGGUCAAAGGCCACUUACUACGUUCAAUGCGCGCCGCGUUCGCCGUGUUUUUCCGAUAUAUGUUUCGCAUACACUCGUGCGUUGAACAUUUUUUUCGUUGGAUUCUGAGAGGAGCUAGGGAUUUAUUGCUUUUACAACGAUGUUUAAUUUAAUUUUAAUUUUUUUUUUUUUUUUAUGUAAACACUUUUUCUACCGGAGAGCAUACGCCGAAUGUAUCAAAUAUACCGCCUUUACCGAUGGGAAAUGUUCUCGGGGCGGUACAUUAGAGGGGUCAUUUUUCGAAAUUCCCAUUAAUAUUCGAGAGAAUGUGGAAAAUCUGGUUCUUUAGGUCGAAAAAGAUUGAAAGAAUAAAAAUAAGGUUGUCAUUGGCAAAGCAACACUAUCGACCGACCACCGCUCGGAAUCGUUUUUUGUUAACAAUGGUUUAUCGUUUAUUGCAGAUACGCAUUGAAUUCCCAAUUCAAUUCACGUUGAAAAAAGUCCCCCGUAGAAUCCUAUUAAACGAUGUAGUCUUAAAAUUUGACGAAACAAUUUUUGUUUUCAGUUAGUCAUUGUAUCCUGAGUGCUGAUUGCAAAAACACAUUUUCACUAAAUUGUCCGUUUGAAAGACAGAGACGGCAAUAUUAUUACGCGUUCUUUAGAACGCGGUGUCACGGACCGAAUUCGCGUUCGGCAAGGACGACUUUUUGGUAUUGGUUUUGAUAUUAGAGCGAAAAUUGGCCUAUUGUCGAGCUCAAAGGCAAGAACAUUGACUGUGCGCCCAAUUUUUCGAUAGUUUAAAAAGCCACAUACGAGUGCAUCGACUAUUGUCACGAAGAAAACGCCCACGUGCUCGCCUUAAAGAUUGAUAAUCGAUCAAUUCGUUCUA
This is a non-coding RNA of Cinara cedri, 2550 nucleotides long. NCBI's taxonomy places the organism in Eukaryota, Metazoa, Arthropoda, Insecta, Hemiptera, Aphididae. The record is from the annotation of a GenBank genome assembly.